CGGAGGGUGCGAGCGUUAUCCGGAAUUACUGGGUUUAAAGGGUGCGUAGGCGGCUGUGUAAGUCAGGAGUGAAAGUUUGCGGCUCAACCGUAAAAUUGCUUUUGAUACUGCACGGCUAGAAUUAGGAUGAGGUCAGCGGAAUGUGGCAUGUAGCGGUGAAAUGCAUAGAUAUGCCAUAGAACACCAAUUGCGAAGGCAGCUGGCUAGACCUGGAUUGACGCUGAGGCACGAAAGCGUGGGGAUCGAACAGGAUUAGAUACCCUGGUAGUCCACGCCCUAAACGAUGCUCACUCGACGUAUGGCCCUAGAGGUUAUGCGUCCAAGGGAAACCGUUAAGUGAGCCACCUGGGGAGUACGACCGCAAGGUUG
This 369-nucleotide ribosomal RNA is filed under the name uncultured organism. Its description in RNAcentral is "bacterial SSU rRNA". It matches the Rfam family "Bacterial small subunit ribosomal RNA", at positions 526 to 896 of the family's 1533-position model. The record is from RNAcentral.